Entelurus aequoreus (snake pipefish) is the source of this 886-nucleotide long non-coding RNA. RefSeq lists it as uncharacterized. NCBI's taxonomy places the organism in Eukaryota, Metazoa, Chordata, Actinopteri, Syngnathiformes, Syngnathidae. The transcript is spliced from 3 exons. The record is from RefSeq and is a predicted model, not a curated record.
AGUCAGUUUAUCAGUCAUAUUUCUUACGAUUAUUUGAGUUCAAAAAGGUCAAUACGUCGGGAGUUUUGUUGUGGUUAUUAAUAUUGUUUAUGGCUGCAACCAGACGUGACGUCACGCACAACCGGGAUAACCCAACACGGUGUUUCAUGUAACCGGGCGUGGUACCCAUCCCUACUUGUGACAUCCACUGAUGUGUUCCAAGGACCAGGUGGACCGGAGGAUUGUGAUCAGUUUCCACCGGACAGCGAUGGCGUGAAAAAGGCGUGAAAAAGGCACAGCAGGGUAGGUGGAAUAUGGCAGCAAUAGCACAGUUCCACCGCGGUGAGGUGACUGUUCCCUAUUGUCACACUACUCCACCUACCUUAACUGUGAGCCUUUGGGUGUGGCGAUCCCGUAUCCUUUGGAGUCCAGGUUGCCGCCCACUUUCAUGGUGUCGCAGGGCUUGCGCUGCUCCGUGUACUCGUUCAUGGUGGACUCCAGGAGGAAGGCGUACUUCCCCUUGGACUUGCGCACCCGCGCCACGCCCUCCGCCGUGGUCUUGGUGAAGACGGUCGGCUCGGCCGACUUCAUGUAGGACCACAUCUUCUCGUACACCGCGAUUUUGGAGCGCUGCGGACAUGACAGAAGAGGAAGCGGAAAUGAAUGCGUUUGUAGCAGAAAUGUGACAUUUGCAAGAGUCCGACUGCACUGAGCAAGCAAGCAGAGGAAUCCAAACGUCAUCUUCUCCCCGACGGAGUCAUUCUCCAGUGCUGACAUCAGCAGCCAAUGAGAUUCAACCUUCAGACCAGAACCAGAACUGCUCCUUAACGCCCACACUCCUUCUCAAGCUGACUCAUGUUGAUACUGUAUGACGCACAAUAUAAUCACGUGGAAUACAAUCCAUUCU